Molecule: long non-coding RNA, 452 nt
Organism: Leptopilina boulardi
Lineage: Eukaryota; Metazoa; Arthropoda; Insecta; Hymenoptera; Figitidae
Exons: 2
Source: RefSeq, a predicted model, not a curated record
GAGCGAUUCAGAGAGGUCGAACAUGGAGAGCUGCGAUUGUUACCAGUGCCAUGUGAUGAGGGUGUCGGUGCACAACUUGCAGAAUCCUAACGAUGAGGUGCCGUUCCCGACGACGCCACCGGGGACUCCACCCAGGUAUCCCUUGCACAGGCCAGAAACGCCACCAUCCUGAGUGGAGCAGGGGCCUCUACCAUCAUCUCCAAAGGCUCCAAUAAGACCGGUGACUGUCGUGAGGCCAAGGGUCCGGGCACAGGAGGUCAGGGCGCCAACACCUCUACCGGAGGUCAGGGUGCCGACAGCUCCACCAGAGGCCAGGGCGCCAACACCCCCACCAAGGUCACCGAGACCACCACCCGGCCCAGAGAGAAGGCAACGACGAAGACGUCAUCGCCGCCAUUAAUAUUAAUAUUUUUAUUAAUUUUUAAUUUUUUAAUAAACGUGUUUAUUUUGUA